This 896-nucleotide ribosomal RNA is filed under the name uncultured bacterium. RNAcentral describes it as "bacterial SSU rRNA". It matches the Rfam family "Bacterial small subunit ribosomal RNA", at positions 1 to 889 of the family's 1533-position model. The record is from RNAcentral.
GGAUCCAGACUUUGACUAUGGCUCAGGAUGAACGCUAGCUACAGGCUUAACACAUGCAAGUCGAGGGGCAGCAUGGUCUUAGCUUGCUAAGGCUGAUGGCGACCGGCGCACGGGUGAGUAACACGUAUCCAACCUGCCGUCUACUCUUGGCCAGCCUUCUGAAAGGAAGAUUAAUCCAGGAUGGCAUCAUGAGUUCACAUGUCCGCAUGAUUAAAGGUAUUUUCCGGUAGACGAUGGGGAUGCGUUCCAUUAGAUAGUAGGCGGGGUAACGGCCCACCUAGUCAACGAUGGAUAGGGGUUCUGAGAGGAAGGUCCCCCACAUUGGAACUGAGACACGGUCCAAACUCCUACGGGAGGCAGCAGUGAGGAAUAUUGGUCAAUGGGCGAUGGCCUGAACCAGCCAAGUAGCGUGAAGGAUGACUGCCCUAUGGGUUGUAAACUUCUUUUAUAAAGGAAUAAAGUCGGGUAUGCAUACCCGUUUGCAUGUACUUUAUGAAUAAGGAUCGGCUAACUCCGUGCCAGCAGCCGCGGUAAUACGGAGGAUCCGAGCGUUAUCCGGAUUUAUUGGGUUUAAAGGGAGCGUAGAUGAUGUUUAAGUCAGUUGUGAAAGUUUGCGGCUCAACCGUAAAAUUGCAGUUGAUACUGGAUGUCUUGAGUGCAGUUGAGGCAGGCGGAAUUCGUGGUGUAGCGGUGAAAUGCUUAGAUAUCACGAAGAACUCCGAUUGCGAAGGCAGCCUGCUAAGCUGCAACUGACAUUGAGGCUCGAAAGUGUGGGUAUCAAACAGGAUUAGAUACCCUGGUAGUCCACACGGUAAACGAUGAAUACUCGCUGUUUGCGAUAUACGGCAAGCGGCCAAGCGAAAGCGUUAAGUAUUCCACCUGGGGAGUACGCAGGG